Molecule: long non-coding RNA, 651 nt
Filed under: Elaeis guineensis (African oil palm)
Lineage: Eukaryota; Viridiplantae; Streptophyta; Magnoliopsida; Arecales; Arecaceae
Description: long non-coding RNA (EGUI_LNC073890)
Source: RNAcentral
CGGUCGCUCCUGAACUCCACCCGAUGCAAGAAGUCGACUCAGACGAAUAGUCAGAGUAUCCGCCUGUUAUCUUUGUAUUUUCAUUUUUUGUUUAGUCUUUGAUAUCUGUAAUCGGGUCCCGUCUCAAUUUUGUAAUCGGGCUUCGACCCAAUUUUGUAAUCGGGCUUCGGUCCCAUUUUGUAAGUUGUUUUAACUUAACAAAAUCAAAGACUUUUUAUACUUUUUUUCGCGUGCGGUUGAAUGUGUUUGAUCGUCCGAGCCAUCUCCGAGUGCAUAGAUCGUAGCUCCGAUAUAUCUCAUUAGGAUGUUCGGUAGGGUCUAGCGUAGCCGAUCAAAGUAGUCAGUAGCGUGCGCCGUGCCAAGGACAGCGCAAGCCCCGAUCGCAAGUCAGCAUCCCGACCGUCAUACAGAUAGCAUAGGAUCUGAUGGUCGAGAGCCGUAUCGAUUGUAGGUCGAGUGUCCGCCGCUCGAACCUUGGUCGGGCAUGUACAUCAGGUCGAGUGUCAGCCGAUUACCGGAUGUAGCUUAUUGGACAGGAUAAUGAUGACAAGUCGAAUAUUCGUUGUUCGGCCCUUGGUCGGGCAUACACGUCGGGAGUAUGAUAAACGGUGGCAAGCCGAAUAUCCUUCGACUGGUUGUAACUAAGUCGGU